GGGCAGAGCUCGAGGAGAUGAGCUUCGUGGUGGAGCGUUAUUCUAACGGAGUGUUCUUCAAGGGUCCGAAUCGCGGCAAAAAAACCCAAAAAAACAAGACGAGGGAGCACUAAGAAGCCGAGGGAGACCAUGGCAGAGCUCCCAGCCCUCCCCCGUCCCGCAGCGUGGCGGCUCUGACGCGUGUGGGCGGAGAGAGGAGUGCCGGCGCUUGAGUAGCGCCUAGGGGCUGCCUUGGUCUCGCACGCCUGUGAGCUGCUGCGAAAAGGAACGCGGCGACACAAACAGAAAGCGCGGAUGUCCGUGCAGUGGUUCCGGUCGUGCCUGAGCCUGUCGCUGCUCCAGGAGGGCAGCAGGGAUAGCACCUGUGCGCGCUCUGAGCAGGAGUCAUCAGUGAUUUCUGACAGCCUGCAAAAGUCAGGCCGAGAGGAUGGCUGUGGGGACUGGCAGAGUAAGGCAGCGAGCCGGGAGAAAGCGGAAGAGAGAACACCCUUCAGACCUGGGUUUCGAUUCCCAGAAGGAUCUUCAAUUUCUAUGGUAAUUCUUGCAACGUUCUGUGCCGUUGACAGUAGCGGAAGCAGGUCUUCGUUUCUCAUGUCAAUGCCAGUUUCACCUAGCAUGGCUCCUCUGGAAUAAAAAGAAAGGGGUCUUAGAAAUGAGUCCCAGUGUCAAGUCUCUUCAGAGACUCUUUGACUCAGACUGAAGAGACAGUCUGAGUCAAAGAAAUUCCUCAACAGAAAUCCCAGCAGAGGGCUGCCCACAGCUCACUGUGCUCUGGGAUGCUCUCCUUGUAAGCGCUUCCCUGCACGGAGCAGCCAUCUAGCAAAGACUAGCGGAGAAGCAACUCACGCUUGUCUCUUCAUCAGCAGCUGUUUUGCCAGGUAACCCAAAGCAGCCAGAAUGACCAGAGAGAACACUGUGCUUGAGGUGUGGCCUCAAAAGACACUGCUUACUUGUGCAAAAGACACUGCUUUUGGUAGUACCCUUUAAACCAGUGUCUAAUACCCAGCGUAUUGGGGAAGCACAAAUUGCUCCCAGAUCUAAUAGAGAUGAGGCUAAAUAACCACUGGUUGACAUAAUUAGAGUAGGCCAUAAAUCAUCUUCCAAGGCUGGACUAAACUAUGCCUUCUGGUGACAUUAGCAAACUGUCACCAAGGGCAUUCUAAUGACCACCUGCACUACAGAUAGGAUGUGAUGCUAGAAUGACAACUCUCCCUAGACCUUGAUGAGUGAGCAGAGACAGCGUCUGCAACUUAGGAAUUCUGGUAUCAUCUGGAUCUGGGAUCUAUUUUAACCAGUUUCUUCAGAUGCAGCAACAAAAAAAGCCAUUGAUAAAUCAUAUUAUGUAGGUGGCUGACAUGCAUCAGUAAAUCUUGGGGAAAAAAACAGUUGAAAAUUGUGAAAAAAUGACUCUGUGACUUGUUGCGUAUUGUUUCAACUUUGAUCUUCUGAAGCCUUGAUGAAAAAAAAAACACCACGUCUUGCUAGUAGUAGGUUUUAGUAGGCAAGAAUUGCUGUAAUUCCCUGUUUGCUAAGACAGAAAAACAAGUUUCUUCAAUUUUACCAUGAACUUCUAUCCCCUUUAGUUUUAGGAGGUUUCCAUGAAGCAAGUAUUCUGUAACGAGGGGGUUCUCUUUACCACGUAGAAACAGCAUCCCUGCUGCUACGGAAAGAAUGACUGGGAGCAAAGAGAGGGGUUCUUUGGUGGGUUUUUUGUUUGUUUGUUGGUUGGUUGGUUUGUUUUCAUUUUACUUCUACAAGUUCUGAAGUAUUACAAGAACAGUCUAUCUUGUCAGUGUUGUCCUAUACCACUGUUACUGUUCUUUUAGAUAUUUUAUUAACGGCCGUUUCACAUUGUACUGGUUUUGGCACAAAUUUCAUGCCUUCGAGAAAGCAAAAUACCGUUACAGUAGUGUUUCUUCUGUGUAUCUGAUGAUUCUUUUUAAUUCUAAACUCUUUUCUUUCUGCGUCGCGAUAAUCACCCAAGUACAGGAAAUAUUUAGCUUGAAAGGUCACAACAGGAGGAUCAGAGAGAUGACCGGAGGGCUGGAGCACCUCCACUACGAGGACAGGCUGGGAGGGCUGGGGCUCUUUGGCCUGGAGAAGGCCCUGGGGCGACCUUAGAGCAGCCUUCAGUAGGUCCCUGAAGGGGACCUACAGGAAAGCUGGGGAGGGACUUUUUAUCAGGGCACGUAGCAACAGGAUGAGGGGAAAUGGUUUUAAACUGGAAGAGGGUGGAUUUAGACUAGAGGUUAGGAAGAAAUGCUUUCCUGUGAGGGGAGUGAGGCACUGGAACAGGUUGCCCAGCAAGGCUGUGGAUGCCCCCUCCCCGGAGCAUUCAAGGCCCCAUUCAGGCUGAAUGGGGCUGUGAGCAACCUGGUCUAGAGCAGGGACGGGGAGAACAAGAUGGUCCCUUAAGGUCCCUUCCAACUCAAAACAGUCUCUGAUUCUACGAGAAGCUGUGCAUCAGAAGGGCUCCUUCUAGCUCAGGAAGGGCUCGAACGAGGUGGUGGCUCUGAGGCGGGUGGGCGGAGCGAGUAGUGCCGGUGGCAGCCGCCAUUUUCGGGCAGAGCUCGAGGAGAUGAGCUUCGUGGUGGAGCGUUAUUCUAACGGAGUGUUCUUCAAGGGUCCGAAUCGCGGCAAAAAAACCCAAAAAAACAAGACGAGGGAGCACUAAGAAGCCGAGGGAGACCAUGGCAGAGCUCCCAGCCCUCCCCCGUCCCGCAGCGUGGCGGCUCUGACGCGUGUGGGCGGAGAGAGGAGUGCCGGCGCUUGAGUAGCGCCUAGGGGCUGCCUUGGUCUCGCACGCCUGUGAGCUGCUGCGAAAAGGAACGCGGCGACACAAACAGAAAGCGCGGAUGUCCGUGCAGUGGUUCCGGUCGUGCCUGAGCCUGUCGCUGCUCCAGGAGGGCAGCAGGGAUAGCACCUGUGCGCGCUGUGAGCAAGUGGAUGGUCUGCUCAGCCUGGUGGCCGAGCUAAAGCUAAAGCUAAAGCUAAAGCUAAAGGCGGGUGGGGGGGGGGCGGAGGGGAGGUGGAGGUGGAGAGGUUGAGGAGCACCCGGAAUUGAGAGAGCCGGAUUGAUCGGUGGAGUCACACUCUGCCAUCCCUGUGGGAAAGGCACGGGGGAGACGCUGUACAAAUAGCAGUGGCUCAUGUAGCCUCUAGCAGUUAGAUGGGAGAGGGUGAGCUCAGAGACAGUGAGGGAUGGAAACAAGGCCCUGAUCAGGGCAGCAAGCAGGCCGCCUCUCAGCCUGUCCCACCCUCCCAGGUGCCCUUACAUAACAGGUAUGAGGCCCUGGAGCUGGAGGGAUAGGGGGAUGUGGGUGUCGGUGAAGGUCCAUCAAUGCAGAAGAGAUUGCCAGGGGCAAGUCAGACUGCUCCCCAUAUUGCUACAGCAUCCGUCACGAGAAAAAGAAGAGCUGUCAUCAUAGGGGAACAUAGGAGAAGUAGAGUUCCCCAAACACUCCAGUCCUUCCCACAUGGCUUCUGGGAGGGAGAGACAAAGUGAUGGGGGGAUGUAAGGACGUUCCCUAGUGCUCUGCAUUGCCGAGCUUGCAGCACAGUUAGGACUCUCACUCUCUUUCAAGUUUAUGUGAUAUAUUUUUCUCAUGGGCGCCGCUUGUUCUCUUCAGCGGUCCACAGCUCCCCAGCGGUGCUGAUCUUGACAUUCUUGGUCCAGUAGGGCUUCUCUGGUUCAUCCAGUUCCACCGCUCUUCCACAGCAGCACAUGCUUCUCUCUUCUCCUGACUUUGGUGUCCUUUCGCUUGUAGCUGAGCAGGAGUCAUCAGUGAUUUCUGACAGCCUGCAAAAGUCAGGCCGAGAGGAUGGCUGUGGGGACUGGCAGAGUAAGGCAGCGAGCCGGGAGAAAGCGGAAGAGAGAACACCCUUCAGACCUGGGUUUCGAUUCCCAGAAGGAUCUUCAAUUUCUAUGGUAAUUCUUGCAACGUUCUGUGCCGUUGACAGUAGCGGAAGCAGGUCUUCGUUUCUCAUGUCAAUGCCAGUUUCACCUAGCAUGGCUCCUCUGGAAUAAAAAGAAAGGGGUCUUAGAAAUGAGUCCCAGUGUCAAGUCUCUUCAGAGACUCUUUGACUCAGACUGAAGAGACAGUCUGAGUCAAAGAAAUUCCUCAACAGAAAUCCCAGCAGAGGGCUGCCCACAGCUCACUGUGCUCUGGGAUGCUCUCCUUGUAAGCGCUUCCCUGCACGGAGCAGCCAUCUAGCAAAGACUAGCGGAGAAGCAACUCACGCUUGUCUCUUCAUCAGCAGCUGUUUUGCCAGGUAACCCAAAGCAGCCAGAAUGACCAGAGAGAACACUGUGCUUGAGGUGUGGCCUCAAAAGACACUGCUUACUUGUGCAAAAGACACUGCUUUUGGUAGUACCCUUUAAACCAGUGUCUAAUACCCAGCGUAUUGGGGAAGCACAAAUUGCUCCCAGAUCUAAUAGAGAUGAGGCUAAAUAACCACUGGUUGACAUAAUUAGAGUAGGCCAUAAAUCAUCUUCCAAGGCUGGACUAAACUAUGCCUUCUGGUGACAUUAGCAAACUGUCACCAAGGGCAUUCUAAUGACCACCUGCACUACAGAUAGGAUGUGAUGCUAGAAUGACAACUCUCCCUAGACCUUGAUGAGUGAGCAGAGACAGCGUCUGCAACUUAGGAAUUCUGGUAUCAUCUGGAUCUGGGAUCUAUUUUAACCAGUUUCUUCAGAUGCAGCAACAAAAAAAGCCAUUGAUAAAUCAUAUUAUGUAGGUGGCUGACAUGCAUCAGUAAAUCUUGGGGAAAAAAACAGUUGAAAAUUGUGAAAAAAUGACUCUGUGACUUGUUGCGUAUUGUUUCAACUUUGAUCUUCUGAAGCCUUGAUGAAAAAAAAAACACCACGUCUUGCUAGUAGUAGGUUUUAGUAGGCAAGAAUUGCUGUAAUUCCCUGUUUGCUAAGACAGAAAAACAAGUUUCUUCAAUUUUACCAUGAACUUCUAUCCCCUUUAGUUUUAGGAGGUUUCCAUGAAGCAAGUAUUCUGUAACGAGGGGGUUCUCUUUACCACGUAGAAACAGCAUCCCUGCUGCUACGGAAAGAAUGACUGGGAGCAAAGAGAGGGGUUCUUUGGUGGGUUUUUUGUUUGUUUGUUGGUUGGUUGGUUUGUUUUCAUUUUACUUCUACAAGUUCUGAAGUAUUACAAGAACAGUCUAUCUUGUCAGUGUUGUCCUAUACCACUGUUACUGUUCUUUUAGAUAUUUUAUUAACGGCCGUUUCACAUUGUACUGGUUUUGGCACAAAUUUCAUGCCUUCGAGAAAGCAAAAUACCGUUACAGUAGUGUUUCUUCUGUGUAUCUGAUGAUUCUUUUUAAUUCUAAACUCUUUUCUUUCUGCGUCGCGAUAAUCACCCAAGUACAGGAAAUAUUUAGCUUGAAAGGUCACAACAGGAGGAUCAGAGAGAUGACCGGAGGGCUGGAGCACCUCCACUACGAGGACAGGCUGGGAGGGCUGGGGCUCUUUGGCCUGGAGAAGGCCCUGGGGCGACCUUAGAGCAGCCUUCAGUAGGUCCCUGAAGGGGACCUACAGGAAAGCUGGGGAGGGACUUUUUAUCAGGGCACGUAGCAACAGGAUGAGGGGAAAUGGUUUUAAACUGGAAGAGGGUGGAUUUAGACUAGAGGUUAGGAAGAAAUGCUUUCCUGUGAGGGGAGUGAGGCACUGGAACAGGUUGCCCAGCAAGGCUGUGGAUGCCCCCUCCCCGGAGCAUUCAAGGCCCCAUUCAGGCUGAAUGGGGCUGUGAGCAACCUGGUCUAGAGCAGGGACGGGGAGAACAAGAUGGUCCCUUAAGGUCCCUUCCAACUCAAAACAGUCUCUGAUUCUACGAGAAGCUGUGCAUCAGAAGGGCUCCUUCUAGCUCAGGAAGGGCUCGAACGAGGUGGUGGCUCUGAGGCGGGUGGGCGGAGCGAGUAGUGCCGGUGGCAGCCGCCAUUUUCGGGCAGAGCUCGAGGAGAUGAGCUUCGUGGUGGAGCGUUAUUCUAACGGAGUGUUCUUCAAGGGUCCGAAUCGCGGCAAAAAAACCCAAAAAAACAAGACGAGGGAGCACUAAGAAGCCGAGGGAGACCAUGGCAGAGCUCCCAGCCCUCCCCCGUCCCGCAGCGUGGCGGCUCUGACGCGUGUGGGCGGAGAGAGGAGUGCCGGCGCUUGAGUAGCGCCUAGGGGCUGCCUUGGUCUCGCACGCCUGUGAGCUGCUGCGAAAAGGAACGCGGCGACACAAACAGAAAGCGCGGAUGUCCGUGCAGUGGUUCCGGUCGUGCCUGAGCCUGUCGCUGCUCCAGGAGGGCAGCAGGGAUAGCACCUGUGCGCGCUCUGAGCAGGAGUCAUCAGUGAUUUCUGACAGCCUGCAAAAGUCAGGCCGAGAGGAUGGCUGUGGGGACUGGCAGAGUAAGGCAGCGAGCCGGGAGAAAGCGGAAGAGAGAACACCCUUCAGACCUGGGUUUCGAUUCCCAGAAGGAUCUUCAAUUUCUAUGGUAAUUCUUGCAACGUUCUGUGCCGUUGACAGUAGCGGAAGCAGGUCUUCGUUUCUCAUGUCAAUGCCAGUUUCACCUAGCAUGGCUCCUCUGGAAUAAAAAGAAAGGGGUCUUAGAAAUGAGUCCCAGUGUCAAGUCUCUUCAGAGACUCUUUGACUCAGACUGAAGAGACAGUCUGAGUCAAAGAAAUUCCUCAACAGAAAUCCCAGCAGAGGGCUGCCCACAGCUCACUGUGCUCUGGGAUGCUCUCCUUGUAAGCGCUUCCCUGCACGGAGCAGCCAUCUAGCAAAGACUAGCGGAGAAGCAACUCACGCUUGUCUCUUCAUCAGCAGCUGUUUUGCCAGGUAACCCAAAGCAGCCAGAAUGACCAGAGAGAACACUGUGCUUGAGGUGUGGCCUCAAAAGACACUGCUUACUUGUGCAAAAGACACUGCUUUUGGUAGUACCCUUUAAACCAGUGUCUAAUACCCAGCGUAUUGGGGAAGCACAAAUUGCUCCCAGAUCUAAUAGAGAUGAGGCUAAAUAACCACUGGUUGACAUAAUUAGAGUAGGCCAUAAAUCAUCUUCCAAGGCUGGACUAAACUAUGCCUUCUGGUGACAUUAGCAAACUGUCACCAAGGGCAUUCUAAUGACCACCUGCACUACAGAUAGGAUGUGAUGCUAGAAUGACAACUCUCCCUAGACCUUGAUGAGUGAGCAGAGACAGCGUCUGCAACUUAGGAAUUCUGGUAUCAUCUGGAUCUGGGAUCUAUUUUAACCAGUUUCUUCAGAUGCAGCAACAAAAAAAGCCAUUGAUAAAUCAUAUUAUGUAGGUGGCUGACAUGCAUCAGUAAAUCUUGGGGAAAAAAACAGUUGAAAAUUGUGAAAAAAUGACUCUGUGACUUGUUGCGUAUUGUUUCAACUUUGAUCUUCUGAAGCCUUGAUGAAAAAAAAAACACCACGUCUUGCUAGUAGUAGGUUUUAGUAGGCAAGAAUUGCUGUAAUUCCCUGUUUGCUAAGACAGAAAAACAAGUUUCUUCAAUUUUACCAUGAACUUCUAUCCCCUUUAGUUUUAGGAGGUUUCCAUGAAGCAAGUAUUCUGUAACGAGGGGGUUCUCUUUACCACGUAGAAACAGCAUCCCUGCUGCUACGGAAAGAAUGACUGGGAGCAAAGAGAGGGGUUCUUUGGUGGGUUUUUUGUUUGUUUGUUGGUUGGUUGGUUUGUUUUCAUUUUACUUCUACAAGUUCUGAAGUAUUACAAGAACAGUCUAUCUUGUCAGUGUUGUCCUAUACCACUGUUACUGUUCUUUUAGAUAUUUUAUUAACGGCCGUUUCACAUUGUACUGGUUUUGGCACAAAUUUCAUGCCUUCGAGAAAGCAAAAUACCGUUACAGUAGUGUUUCUUCUGUGUAUCUGAUGAUUCUUUUUAAUUCUAAACUCUUUUCUUUCUGCGUCGCGAUAAUCACCCAAGUACAGGAAAUAUUUAGCUUGAAAGGUCACAACAGGAGGAUCAGAGAGAUGACCGGAGGGCUGGAGCACCUCCACUACGAGGACAGGCUGGGAGGGCUGGGGCUCUUUGGCCUGGAGAAGGCCCUGGGGCGACCUUAGAGCAGCCUUCAGUAGGUCCCUGAAGGGGACCUACAGGAAAGCUGGGGAGGGACUUUUUAUCAGGGCACGUAGCAACAGGAUGAGGGGAAAUGGUUUUAAACUGGAAGAGGGUGGAUUUAGACUAGAGGUUAGGAAGAAAUGCUUUCCUGUGAGGGGAGUGAGGCACUGGAACAGGUUGCCCAGCAAGGCUGUGGAUGCCCCCUCCCCGGAGCAUUCAAGGCCCCAUUCAGGCUGAAUGGGGCUGUGAGCAACCUGGUCUAGAGCAGGGACGGGGAGAACAAGAUGGUCCCUUAAGGUCCCUUCCAACUCAAAACAGUCUCUGAUUCUACGAGAAGCUGUGCAUCAGAAGGGCUCCUUCUAGCUCAGGAAGGGCUCGAACGAGGUGGUGGCUCUGAGGCGGGUGGGCGGAGCGAGUAGUGCCGGUGGCAGCCGCCAUUUUCGGGCAGAGCUCGAGGAGAUGAGCUUCGUGGUGGAGCGUUAUUCUAACGGAGUGUUCUUCAAGGGUCCGAAUCGCGGCAAAAAAACCCAAAAAAACAAGACGAGGGAGCACUAAGAAGCCGAGGGAGACCAUGGCAGAGCUCCCAGCCCUCCCCCGUCCCGCAGCGUGGCGGCUCUGACGCGUGUGGGCGGAGAGAGGAGUGCCGGCGCUUGAGUAGCGCCUAGGGGCUGCCUUGGUCUCGCACGCCUGUGAGCUGCUGCGAAAAGGAACGCGGCGACACAAACAGAAAGCGCGGAUGUCCGUGCAGUGGUUCCGGUCGUGCCUGAGCCUGUCGCUGCUCCAGGAGGGCAGCAGGGAUAGCACCUGUGCGCGCUGUGAGCAAGUGGAUGGUCUGCUCAGCCUGGUGGCCGAGCUAAAGCUAAAG
Gallus gallus (chicken) is the source of this 8939-nucleotide long non-coding RNA. RefSeq lists it as uncharacterized. The record is from RefSeq and is a predicted model, not a curated record. NCBI's taxonomy places the organism in Eukaryota, Metazoa, Chordata, Aves, Galliformes, Phasianidae. The transcript is spliced from 3 exons.